Callorhinus ursinus (northern fur seal) is the source of this 1320-nucleotide non-coding RNA. Lineage: Eukaryota; Metazoa; Chordata; Mammalia; Carnivora; Otariidae. The record is from RefSeq and is a predicted model, not a curated record.
AUCAGCCACGGAACGGGCUGGGCAGCUUCUUUCCUCUUCCUUUUUGAAAUCCGAAAUCACCAUGGAGCGUCUGCGGUAUCCACCAGGGGCAAUCCUGACUGCUAAGAACUUAGUUUCCAAAUGGCAAUAGGAUCAUUUUCCCCAAACCGGAUAGCACUUUCUUUUCCAGGGCAACUCUUUGGAAUCCUGAAAGCAGAUUUUACCAUCCCAGCUCUGAUGGACCCAAAAGAUAUGAAAGACCAAUUUUUGAGUGAGAUCCAAGAAGUCUUAAAGCUUACAUUAGGUCAUGGGCAAUUCAGAUUGAAAUGGGUUGGCUUCCAAGCAAACAAGAAAGAGCCCACGUCGACUGAUCUGGAGUCUCCUUCUCACACAAUCUUCUCUGGAUUUUGAGUGAAUUUUAGUCUUUUCAUUCCUGUACAUUAGACUACACAUUUGUUCCAGGCUUUUAGAAAUAACUCCAGCUAUAUGAAGGGCUGACUGGUAGGAUUUCAGACCUGUACCUCACACACAAGAAUAUUAUGUAAGAGAAGAAAAAUGGCCUUCCUGGAUUUUAUAGAAAUAGGUAAGCAGAAGCAGAUGGAAGAAUUUGGGGACAGUAACCUGGAGAAUGACAAGCAAACAAGAACACAAAACCCCAACGAAGCAACAAAAAUCCUGACCCAAACCCCAUUAAUUAAUCUACCUAGGGAAUUAAGGGAGGACAGUAGUGGGCUGGCUGGGAAGCUAAGUGGGGCCACGCUUCCAAAUGACGUGGAGGACACUUUCCUUCCGAGCGAUGAGCUAUUAAAGAGAUUGCAAGUUCUUCAGAAUGAGGAGCUCUCUAAGGGCAUCAUCACAAUAUAACAUAUUAAUGCGAGCUGUCUGUCCUACUGCACGUAAAUAUUUUUUACUUGUCAAUUGGGAAAUUCUCUGACACAUUGUUCUCAAUGUUAAACUAUUAACUUCAGAAAAAAAAAUAUAACCUCAGAAGAAUGUUCCUGCAUACAUUUCCUUUCUGGUUUUUCUCCAAGUGUUCUACUCACCCAGAUACAUGCUAGCAAUAAGGUAGUAAAUAUGUCAAAUACAUUAGCAACUUUAGUCUGAAAUGUUUAAAGUUAAAGUUUAUUUGUAUUCUUUGUAGGAAUAUCAAUAAAAGACCUCAAACGUAUCUGUAUCUCUACAUGUACAAGAACCAUCAAAAAUUAUUCACAGAACAAAAAUAAAUCUUCUUUAGAACAAACCCAGGUAAUGAAAUGCAGAUAUGGAUCUCAUGUAUGGAACGAUCUAAGUGCUACCAGCACAAAAAUAUGGCUUUAAAAAUAAAAUAAAAUCUUGGGUUUU